UAGGGAAUCUUCCGCAAUGGGCGAAAGCUUGACGGAGCAACGCCGCGUGAGUGAUGAAGGUCUUCGGAUCGUAAAACUCUGUUAUUAGGGAAGAACAAAUGUGUAAGUAACUAUGCACGUCUUGACGGUACCUAAUCAGAAAGCCACGGCUAACUACGUGCCAGCAGCCGCGGUAAUACGUAGGUGGCAAGCGUUAUCCGGAAUUAUUGGGCGUAAAGCGCGCGUAGGCGGUUUUUUAAGUCUGAUGUGAAAGCCCACGGCUCAACCGUGGAGGGUCAUUGGAAACUGGAAAACUUGUGUGCAGAAGAGGAAAGUGGAAUUCCAUGUGUAGCGGUGAAAUGCGCAGAGAUAUGGAGGAACACCAGUGGCGAAGGCGACUUUCUGGUCUGUAACUGACGCUGAUGUGCGAAAGCGUGGGGAUCAAACAGG
Molecule: ribosomal RNA, 429 nt
Filed under: Actinomycetes bacterium
Lineage: Bacteria; Bacillati; Actinomycetota; Actinomycetes
Description: Actinobacteria bacterium partial 16S ribosomal RNA
Rfam family: Bacterial small subunit ribosomal RNA
Source: RNAcentral